AAGAUGAAUUAACUAACUCAAUUAGUUACAUGGAAAAUCUAUAAUCCUGUUUUGAUCAAAGUGAACAUUAUUAAAACAACCUGGGAGAAGCCAGUGAUUGAGGAAGUUGAUUAACAUAUGUAUUCUUAUCAAAGUAUUUCUGUACAAAAAGUAACAAAAUCAUAAUUUGUGUUAAAAUAUACCACUAGCCACUAAUUUAAAAACAUUCCGUUGGUAUUGGAUAGGUUUAUUAUGUUGGUGGUUAAGACUAGGUUGUAAUCGCAGUCACGCCUGAUUGAUUUGUCUGAUAACUUUCAUGUCUGAAAAAUGGGAAGUCCUACUUACGGGAGUAAAAACCAAUUUAUCUAAAGGGUAAUAAGAUCACAUGCAUCAACCAUUUCAGCAAGCCUGAUGACCUGAUCUCAUUGUUUGCCUCAUACAGAGAGACAGACAAAAUAGUAUAUUUUUUGUGUCACGUGAAUGUACAUUGCAAUUGAAAAGGCAGAGGUAAAAACAUAAAAUAUACAAACACCAGCCCAUAUGGCCAAUGAGACACACUAGACAUUAUGUGCAUAAAAUGUAUAAAAUAUAAGCUUAAAACCUAAAAGGAUUAUCACAGACACGGCAAGCAUGGGUUGCUGAAGACCAAUUCUAUUGAGGAUCAAAGGACAUCACUUGACUUCAUCAUUGUGAUUCUAAUUGUCCUAAAAGCAUUUGUACUAUAAACACAGGUUACAUUUGUCAUGGUUUAUUAUUUUUGGGUGAUCACUUGUUAGCAUUGAAAUUAUCUUUGAAAAGAUGUGUGACCAACGGGAAUUGGUUUGGUAUGUUGCUGCAAUUAUUUCAUAUAUUUGCUUCUGUUAGUUAUCAAAAUCUAUUACCAUAUAUUUAUUCCUAAAAUAUUGACCUAAUUAAUGGUAAAUAAAAUUAUAAGUGACUUUUGUUUCAAACAAGGAAUAUAAA
Molecule: long non-coding RNA, 942 nt
Organism: Haliotis rubra (blacklip abalone)
Lineage: Eukaryota; Metazoa; Mollusca; Gastropoda; Lepetellida; Haliotidae
Exons: 3
Source: RefSeq, a predicted model, not a curated record